This is a small nuclear RNA of Otolemur garnettii (small-eared galago), 107 nucleotides long. The record is from Ensembl. Lineage: Eukaryota; Metazoa; Chordata; Mammalia; Primates; Galagidae.
GUGCUCACUUUAGCAGCACAGGUGCUAAAAUCAGAAUGAUAUAGAGAAGAUUAGCAUGGCCCCUGAGCAAGGAAGAAACACAAAUUCAUGAACUAUUCAAUAUUCUU